UACGUAGGGGGCUAGCGUUGUCCGGAAUCAUUGGGCGUAAAGCGCGCGUAGGCGGCCCGGUAGGUCCGUUGUGAAAACUCGAGGCUCAACCUCGAGACGCCGAUGGAAACCAUCUGACUAGAGUCCGGAAGAGGAGAGUGGAAUUCCUGGUGUAGCGGUGAAAUGCGCAGAUAUCAGGAAGAACACCCGUGGCUAAGGCGGCUCUCUAGUACGGUACUGACGCUGAGACGCGAAAGCGUGGGGAGCGAACAGG
This 253-nucleotide ribosomal RNA is filed under the name uncultured bacterium. Its description in RNAcentral is "partial 16S ribosomal RNA". It matches the Rfam family "Bacterial small subunit ribosomal RNA", at positions 524 to 776 of the family's 1533-position model. The record is from RNAcentral.